Molecule: long non-coding RNA, 346 nt
Filed under: Mytilus galloprovincialis (Mediterranean mussel)
Lineage: Eukaryota; Metazoa; Mollusca; Bivalvia; Mytilida; Mytilidae
Source: RNAcentral
UUCACAUUUUCAAAAUUAACUCCAUGAAAACGAACUCCAGCGAGAUAUAAUUUGAUUGUUGAAUAUUUUAGUUUUAACACUGAUUAGCAAUGGGCCACAAAAUAGAUCAAUAAAUCUUCCGAAACUUUAGACAUAUUGAAGCUCCUUGAGUUGAAUCCAGUGAUAUGAUCGCCACAAAAUUGAAUAAAACAUUUAUAUCCUGUUGAAUAAACAUUGCGGGUAUUCACAUUGAUACUUUUUAUUCCAUAAGCUGUCGACUGCUUGAUCUAACUCCACAGAAUUUUGGAAUGAGGAGGGCAGGUGCAUGGAUUUGGCGAAGCGUCCGGAGCCAAUUGUCGAAACUGCU